This 264-nucleotide ribosomal RNA is filed under the name uncultured prokaryote. RNAcentral describes it as "partial 16S ribosomal RNA". It matches the Rfam family "Bacterial small subunit ribosomal RNA", at positions 524 to 788 of the family's 1533-position model. The record is from RNAcentral.
UACGUAGGUGCGAGCGUUGUCCGGAAUUAUUGGGCGUAAAGAGCUCGUAGGUGGUUGGUCACGUCUGCUGUGGAAACGCAACGCUUAACGUUGCGCGGGAAGUGGUACGGGCUGACUUGAGUGCAGUAGGGGAGUCUGGAAUUCCUGGUGUAGCGGUGAAAUGCGCAGAUAUCAGGAGGAACACCGGUGGCGAAGGAGGGACUCUGGGCUGUAACUGACACUGAGGAGCGAAAGCAUGGGGAGCGAACAGGAUUAGAUACCCCU